AUAUCAAUAAGCGGGGGAAAAGAAACCAACAGGGAUUGCCUUAGUAACUGCGAGUGAAGCGGCAAAAGCUCAAAUUUGAAAUCUGGUACCAUUCGGUGCUCGAGUUGUAAUUUGGAGAGGCAACUUCGGAGAGGGUGUUGGCCUAAGUUCCUUGGAACAGGACGUCACAGAGGGUGAGAAUCCCGUGCUUGGCUGACUGUCCCUCUUCAUGUGAAGUGUCUUCGACGAGUCGAGUUGUUUGGGAAUGCAGCUCAAAAUGGGUGGUAAACUCCAUCUAAGGCUAAAUAUUGGCGAGAGACCGAUAGCGCACAAGUAGAGUGAUCGAAAGAUGAAAAGCACUUUGAAAAGAGAGUUAAAAAGUAC
RNAcentral lists this ribosomal RNA (363 nucleotides) under uncultured fungus. RNAcentral's name for it is "eukaryotic LSU rRNA". It matches the Rfam family "Eukaryotic large subunit ribosomal RNA", at positions 40 to 398 of the family's 3401-position model. The record is from RNAcentral. Lineage: Eukaryota; Fungi.